This 1458-nucleotide long non-coding RNA is filed under the name Struthio camelus australis. RNAcentral describes it as "lncRNA (ENSSCUG00000015477.1)". The record is from RNAcentral. Lineage: Eukaryota; Metazoa; Chordata; Aves; Struthioniformes; Struthionidae.
UUUAGUGAACGUUUUCUUUUUUUAAUUCGGCUUGGGUUUUGGUAGGGGGGGUGGUGGUAUUUGUUUUAGCAGUGGCCUAGGCAUAGGUCCCUCCAGAAAAAUAUUAUGGCUGGCUGGGAAACCCGCACAUUGUGAUGUUAGGGAACGCGUGCAAGCAAACAGGCACAAACGGGGGGUGCGAUAUUCUCCAAGAGGCAGACUGGCCUUUGUCUCUUACUUAAUUUUAUUCCUGCCUGCUCUGUGUUCUGUGCCACACGAUUUACACACUGAAUCAUGCUCAGCAGCCGUAUUCACAAGCGGGCAUAAAUUUAUUUUUCGUCUGCCGGCCAAUUACACCAACUGCCUCAACUGUUGUUUAUUUUCUUCUGUUGCAUCCUCUUGAGUUACUGUUAACAGUGUCCCUUUUGAGUAGAGAUGGGCUUUUUGGCACUGAGGCCUGUCGGCCUGCCAAACUAAUGGACCAUAUAUGUUAUCUAACUAUUUGUAAAGGCUCCAGUUUCAGGACGUCUUGCAGUUGCUGCGGCCACCUGUAGUGCACUGGCGUGGCCAUUGUCUGGGGCAAGACGUGUCAUCCCAGCUCAAGAGUGUCCUUGGGCACUCGCCUGCCCUUGCGGGCACAGCGAGUUAUGCACUUGGUGUAUGGAAACUGCAUUUCUGUGGCUGAAAGGCUCAUCUCCCUGGGCAGGGAGGCACAACUGCUCCUGUGGGCUGUGCAGAGCCUUGCUCCAUGCAUGGGGGGACCAGGAAAUCUCCUGCACGCUGCUGGUUGGAGGCUGGUCAUCCACGCAGAGAGGGACAUGACCACGAAGAGAGUCUCUAGAAACCUGGGCUAAUGGUGUGGGAAGAAAGAGCUCUGCAAGAUGACAGUCCCUGGCCCUAUCUGCAGGUGGACAAAAGCUGCUGGAGAACCCGGGUGUCAUUCCUCCACCAAGGAUCAGUGCCGUUGGCUGGAGGAGCCGGCAGGGAGCGAGAGUGAGAGCCAUGGGAAGGAGAGGAGAAAAUGUGUCCAUCUUGUCGAAACGGAGCAGGUUGCAGCUGUCUGCAGAGCCGUCUUGCGAAGUGACAAGGGAAUAUUUACAUUAUCAAACACUGUGAUGACGAGCAUCUUGGGCUCUUGCAGUGCUGUACGGUUAAGUACGUCAACUAGCACUGUAACUCUGGGCUUGUGCAGCAGGCACGGUAGUUGCAAAAUUUUGGGGGUAGCUACACCCCUCAGACAUUAUCAUGCAUGAAACGGACAGAGCUGUGAAGCAGAUAAGAGUUUCCCUAAAGUUGAGGAGAGAGAGCAUCUUUGAAGGAUGUUUUGAUGUUUAAUAGGUAAGGAAUGCUUUCUGUACCAUUCUGUGGAGAAAUUUUAAUACAGAGAGAAAAAUAUAUGGAAAAAUUUGCUUGGAAAAGAAGGCUCAGUUUUCCUGCUGCAAAGCAUUCAAUUCUUUUCUGUGAAAAUUGAAAUGUUAA